CCUACGGGUGGCAGCAGUGAGGAAUAUUGGUCAAUGGGCGCGAGCCUGAACCAGCCAAGUAGCGUGAAGGAUGACUGCCCUACGGGUUGUAAACUUCUUUUAUAAAGGAAUAAAGUGAGGCACGUGAGCCUUUUUGUAUGUACUUUAUGUAUCAGGAUAGGCUAACUUCGUUCCAGCAGCCGAGGUAAUACGGAGGAUCCGAGCGUUAACCGGAUUUAUUGGGUUGAAAGGGAGCGUAGAUGGGUUGUUAAGUCAGUUGUGAAAGUUUGCGGCUCAACCGUAGAAUUGCAAUUGAUACUGGCAGUCUUGAGUACAGUAGAGGUAGGCGGAAUUCGUGGUGUAGCGGUGAAAUGCUUAGAUAUCACGAAGAACUCCGAUGGCGAAGGCAGCUUACUAAACUGCCACUGACAUUGAUGCUCGAAAGUGUGGGUAUCAAACAGGAUUAGAUACCCGGGUAGUC
This 460-nucleotide ribosomal RNA is filed under the name uncultured bacterium. Its description in RNAcentral is "partial 16S ribosomal RNA". It matches the Rfam family "Bacterial small subunit ribosomal RNA", at positions 338 to 795 of the family's 1533-position model. The record is from RNAcentral.